CCUACGGGAGGCAGCAGUGAGGAAUAUUGGUCAAUGGCCGAUAGGCUGAACCAGCCAAGUAGCGUGAAGGAUGAAUGUCCUAUGGGUUGUAAACUUCUUUUGUCAGGGAAUAAAGUGAUCCACGUGUGGGGGUUUGUGUGUACCUUAUGAAAAAGCAUCGGCUAACUCCGUGCCAGCAGCCGCGGUAAUACGGAGGAUGCGAGCGUUAUCCGGAUUUAUUGGGUUUAAAGGGUGCGUAGGCGGGUUAUCAAGUCAGCGGUAAAAUUUGGGGGCUCAACCCCAUCGUGCCGUUGAAACUGAUGAUCUUGAGUGGGCGAGAGGUAUGCGGAAUGCGUGGUGUAGCGGUGAAAUGCAUAGAUAUCACGCAGAACUCCGAUUGCGAAGGCAGCAUACCGGCGCCCAACUGACGCUGAAGCACGAAAGCGUGGGUAUCGAACAGGAUUAGAUACCCCUGUAGUC
Molecule: ribosomal RNA, 459 nt
Filed under: uncultured bacterium
Lineage: Bacteria
Description: partial 16S ribosomal RNA
Rfam family: Bacterial small subunit ribosomal RNA
Source: RNAcentral